CUCGUAUUUUUCACGGUUGCUUUGGUGUCUCUUAAGUCAAAAGCAGUUACAUUAGCCAAUCUUUCUUCCUAUUCUAAAGUAAUUUCAAUUAAAGUCACUCGUCAAAAUCUUAACGUUUCAGGGAAGUACUUUUUCUGGAACUCCAAUCCCAUAUUUCCUUUUUUAACACAAACCCAAUUAACGUUUUGAUUAAUAUGAAACCAAAUUCUACCUAAUGCACCAAGACCUGGCAGCUAAUUAAGUCCAAUGGUUGCUUGCUCACAGAAACGGCAAAAAGAAAAAAAAUAUAUAAACAUUGUAGUGGUUUCAUAAUUUCUACUAACUUUAUCAUACUGGGUACACAAAGAAAAAAACUUGAUAGCAUUAACUUUAUUUCACGCAAUCCCUAAACAAAUGAACCAAAUAAGUAAUGCGUAGAGGGAACUACAUUAAACUCAUUAUGAUAAGGCAAAUUUGAAAAACUUGACAAAAUGAUCCAGUGUUAGCUGCACAUGUCUGGGCAAUGUAAGUAAUGAAAUGUUUUGAGUUCUGGGAUAGUUUUCCUUUCUGAUUCGAGAAACACAGAAUGGUAUACAUAUGUCACAUAUUUGUAAAGUUUUUGUUGGACUUUUACACAAUAUAAAUGAUCAUUUUCUAAAAUGUAAUUCUGUACGUGAUCGUAUAAAUUGAUGGAAUUGCAUAUACGUACCCUUGAGUUAAUUUCUUGCAAAACUCAAAAGCGGUAAUGGAUGCUGAUCUGAUGCGGUCUUAUUGCAGCGAGUCAGGUGCAGCAGGCAGAAAAUGGUGGGAAUAAUUACAUUGUUGUUUUUGUGAUAAAGGGUGGAAGCACCGCCAAGCCAAUUUAAGAAAGGAAAAAGAAAUUUGAAAUUUAUAGCCAUGGGAGAAGGUGCACAUACUUUAGGCAUCUGAUGCAAAUCAGAACUAAAAAAUGAAGAGAAAUCUGGAUUUAUAUAUAUAUACUGAUCUAUUCUUAUCUUUGUACCUUGUUUUAAUUUAUUUUAUUAAGUAAAAUCAAUCACUUGUUAUCUUUAUUUUUCAGACAAUCCCGAGGGGUAAACCAGUGAAUUUAUAUAGAAAACAACGGAACUACGAAGCUGUUCUGUUUCAGCUUUACACGUAAUUGGCCGAAGGAAAUAGUCAGGUGGGGAUAAUCAAAAACCUCGUUCACUUCUCAUCUCGACACGUGUCAAUGUCCAUUUAUUUAAUUACCUCACCCCUCCUCUUCUAAGUCUGGGAUUUCCCUUAUUUAUUUUUUUAAGAAAAAAAAUGUCUAAGGUUUUCCCCCGUGGCCUCUCCACCGUCUGAUCAAAGAAAUAGGGUAUAAUAACA
This 1329-nucleotide long non-coding RNA is filed under the name Citrus maxima (pomelo). Its description in RNAcentral is "long non-coding RNA (CMAX_LNC003187)". The record is from RNAcentral. Lineage: Eukaryota; Viridiplantae; Streptophyta; Magnoliopsida; Sapindales; Rutaceae.